RNAcentral lists this transfer RNA (79 nucleotides) under Deltaproteobacteria bacterium. RNAcentral describes it as "tRNA-Cys". The stretch from base 13 to 67 matches the Rfam family "tRNA", at positions 9 to 63 of the family's 71-position model. Rfam says of the family: Transfer RNA (tRNA) molecules are approximately 80 nucleotides in length. Their secondary structure includes four short double-helical elements and three loops (D, anti-codon, and T loops). The record is from RNAcentral. Lineage: Bacteria; Pseudomonadati; Myxococcota; Myxococcia.
UGAGAGGUGGUCAGCCGGGGGGGAGGCAACGGUUUGCAAAACCGUGAUACGUGGGUUCAAAUCCCAUCCGCACUCUCAA